GAUGAACGCUGGCGGCGUGCCUAAUACAUGCAAGUCGAGCGAACAGAUGAGGAGCUUGCUCCUCUGACGUUAGCGGCGGACGGGUGAGUAAAACGUGGGUAACCUACCUAUAAGACUGGGAUAACUUCGGGAAACCGGAGCUAAUACCGGAUAAUAUAUUGAACCGCAUGGUUCAAUAGUGAAAGACGGUUUUGCUGUCACUUAUAGAUGGAUCCGCGCCGCAUUAGCUAGUUGGUAAGGUAACGGCUUACCAAGGCAACGAUGCGUAGCCGACCUGAGAGGGUGAUCGGCCACACUGGAACUGAGACACGGUCCAGACUCCUACGGGAGGCAGCAGUAGGGAAUCUUCCGCAAUGGGCGAAAGCCUGACGGAGCAACGCCGCGUGAGUGAUGAAGGUCUUCGGAUCGUAAAACUCUGUUAUUAGGGAAGAACAAAUGUGUAAGUAACUAUGCACGUCUUGACGGUACCUAAUCAGAAAGCCACGGCUAACUACGUG
RNAcentral lists this ribosomal RNA (497 nucleotides) under uncultured bacterium. RNAcentral describes it as "partial 16S ribosomal RNA". It matches the Rfam family "Bacterial small subunit ribosomal RNA", at positions 28 to 507 of the family's 1533-position model. The record is from RNAcentral.